CUUGAGCAUAGCGAGUUUGGGUCCCUUGCCGUAAAGGUGCGUGAGUGGUGUUUGGCGUGUUACGGGCGAUUGGAUCCCUGCUUGCGCAGCAACUUUCGUCGGUGCAUGCCUCUUCAUUUGAGCCUCAAGGUCUCUUGUUACCUUGCGGUCCGCUGUUGGGUUUCCUGUGUCGGCUACCACUACCACGGUAUUGCUUUGCUUACGAAGAUCCACUCUUCGUCACGCGUUGCCCCGGGGACGCAUGACGAACCUUGAAGCUUGCUCCGUGCUCCCGCUCGAUGCUCAGUCGUCGAGACGGGCACACGGGGUGUUCGCUCGGUGUCUUGGGUACGGAACCUUUCGUGAUGGGUAUAUGGGGCCGUCAAGGUCUCGUGUCACCCUGAUCAAACAGCGUUUGCUUGAAGAAAACGACGGCCGCUCUUGUACGGGCUUCGGCUCGUGCGGUUUGGCUUCGUUGAACGAGGAAUGC
Molecule: unclassified non-coding RNA, 469 nt
Filed under: Goodenia brendannarum
Lineage: Eukaryota; Viridiplantae; Streptophyta; Magnoliopsida; Asterales; Goodeniaceae
Description: Velleia foliosa partial external transcribed spacer
Source: RNAcentral